This 257-nucleotide ribosomal RNA is filed under the name uncultured bacterium. RNAcentral describes it as "partial 16S ribosomal RNA". It matches the Rfam family "Bacterial small subunit ribosomal RNA", at positions 524 to 776 of the family's 1533-position model. The record is from RNAcentral.
GACGUAGGUGGCGAACGUUAUCCGGAAUUAUUGGGCGUAAAGGGUGCGUAGAUGGCCUGAUAAGUUAUCAGUGGUAAAUCGAGGCUCAACCUCGCGGAAACUGGUAAUACUGUCAGGCCUGAGUGCAGGAGAGGUUAAUGGAAUUCCCUGUGGAGCGGUAAAAUGCGUUAGAUAUAGGGAGGAACACCAAUAACGGCGAAGGCAAUUAACUAUCCUGUUACUGACAUUGAGGCACGAAAGCGUGGGGAGCAAAACGG